CUCUGGCUAUUAUUACAUCUUCUCCAACUACCUUUUUUUUGGUCAAACGGAAAUAUAUCUUCUCCGACCUUCGUCGUUGAGUUCCCCUACGGAUUUCUCGUUCUCCUGACAAGUGACAACUACAUCUUCUCCGACGUUCACCAGUCAGCGAUUUCUUGAAAGGGUUUGAUUUUGGGUUUGGCCAACACCCAUUUAUGGUUGUUGGUAUCACAAAAAAAUUACAGCUGGUACUUGAUUCAGUUACAUUCUCAAGUUUCUGACUUAACUGUGCCUCAUCGAUGAUUUUGGGUACCCUUUCAAGAAAGGGAUUUGAGCUUUUUUCUUGGACAUUUUGUUCACAACCUGGCCUGGUAAUCUUCUAUUAGUCCAAAAUCAUAUCUGCAAGUGGCAGAAUCAUCCAAGAUUUGGUUUAGGUGCCCAAAUUCCAGGCCAUGGAUGUAUCCUGAAGCAUAUCAGAUCAAGCAAAAUAUAUUCCUCAAAAAGUUUUGGAGCUUCCAUCUCUUGUUCUACAGGUGUGGACAAAGAUUUUUCUUACCUCCCAUUACUCAACUAGCUGAAGCAAAGAAGAUUUAUUCGGUAGCUCCUGCCAUGGGUCAUAAUAAGGUAUUUUGAACAUUGAAUAAAAGUUUCCAGCAG
Rhododendron vialii is the source of this 636-nucleotide long non-coding RNA. RefSeq lists it as uncharacterized. The record is from RefSeq and is a predicted model, not a curated record. NCBI's taxonomy places the organism in Eukaryota, Viridiplantae, Streptophyta, Magnoliopsida, Ericales, Ericaceae. The transcript is spliced from 3 exons.